Molecule: long non-coding RNA, 360 nt
Filed under: Vulpes vulpes (red fox)
Lineage: Eukaryota; Metazoa; Chordata; Mammalia; Carnivora; Canidae
Description: lncRNA (ENSVVUG00000030164.1)
Source: RNAcentral
AUUCUUUGCACACGGAACAGCAAAGAAAGCAGUGAUUGGGUCAAGUGUCUGCCUUCAUAGAUGGGAAAGACUUCACUCAAUGCACGAGUCUGAUGUGCAUACGUCAAGAGCACAUUUGAUUGUCAACCAUUUCUGCUUCCAACAACGUCCUCCAUCCUGAUAAGCAAAGAAAGACGAAUGGAAUUGGAAUCAGUGUGCAAUUAAGAAUGGUCCUGCUUCCACAUCUGAUAUUAUUCAAGCCCAUGCUCUCCAUUAUUUGUUUUUACUAAAAUUAUCUGAUUCGCUGCCAGCGUGUAAUGCAGAAGUUGCAUACAAUGAGGAUAUCCCAUUCCACCACCUCAUGGCAUAAAUCAGUAUAGU